This 253-nucleotide ribosomal RNA is filed under the name uncultured bacterium. RNAcentral describes it as "partial 16S ribosomal RNA". It matches the Rfam family "Bacterial small subunit ribosomal RNA", at positions 524 to 776 of the family's 1533-position model. The record is from RNAcentral.
UACAGAGGGGGCAAGCGUUAUUCGGAAUUAUUGGGCGUAAAGCGCGUGUAGGCGGCUUGGCAAGUCGGGUGUGAAAGCCCUCAGCUCAACUGAGGAAGUGCGCCCGAAACUGCUGAGCUCGAGUGCCGGAGAGGGUGGCGGAAUUCCCCAAGUAGAGGUGAAAUUCGUAGAUAUGGGGAGGAACCCCGGUGGCGAAGGCGGCCACCUGGACGGUAACUGACGCUGAGACGCGAAAGCGUGGGUAGCAAACAGG